Myodes glareolus (Bank vole) is the source of this 336-nucleotide non-coding RNA. The record is from RefSeq and is a predicted model, not a curated record. Lineage: Eukaryota; Metazoa; Chordata; Mammalia; Rodentia; Cricetidae.
CUACGCGUCCCAGAAGGCAUUGCGGCGAGACGUCACGCCUCAGUUUUUGUUGAGUUUGCUUCCCGCCGAACCUCUGCCUCUGGCCAGACUCAGAGGCAGAUCCGGAAGUCAGCCUAACCCCUAAUUGGAGGCUGUUUCUGAGAACCUAGGGUGGGUUUGAGCCCCGGGCUGGAGGACUUGGUACCUGCAGUGCCCAUGGAGGCCAGAAGAGGAUAUCAGAUCCUUUGGACCUAGAGUCACAGAAUUCUUAGCUCCCAGGGUACAGAUUUGCUCAGCAGUCAUCAUUUGUAACCACUCACAAGAUCUUUGAUGUGCAUCACCAUGAUGAAGAGGGUG